Molecule: long non-coding RNA, 5145 nt
Filed under: Fragaria vesca (wild strawberry)
Lineage: Eukaryota; Viridiplantae; Streptophyta; Magnoliopsida; Rosales; Rosaceae
Description: long non-coding RNA (FVES_LNC001776)
Source: RNAcentral
AUAUGACGAGUGUAAUACAUACAUAUUUUAUUUUAGCCUGAGAGGCUGUAUUUUAUUGAGCGUUUUGAGCUGUCGCAUGCAGCAUAUUUUCUUUUCUAUGGAAAAGUAAAAAUUGGGAAAACAUAAAGAAUUAUUUCCUUUAUUUUAUUUUUGUCCACUCACUUUAACGUUAUUAAAUGUUUUCCCCUGGGCCUUUCGUUUUAAAUUGCCCAGUCUGCAGAGUUCGGGUUGGAUCUAGUAGGAGGCAAGGCAUAGUCACCCGUAUUUCUGCCAGUUUUCAUCAGUAGGUUACCUGUUCAACCUACUCGUGUUUUCUUGCUUCCGCUUGUGUUUAGUAGCUCUGAAUACUUUAGGAUUAUUGUAUAUUAUGUGAUGUUUGGAAGUGUUGAAUUAAGAGUGAAAUUUGGAAUUUUCGAGUUAGGGUUGUCCAUCUGCAAGGGAGAUUUUCUCAAUCUUUUCAGUAAAUUUUCCUUGGAGGUGGUCACCGCACGACUUACUCCGGGUUUCAAGGUGAAAUUCGGGGUGGGUCGUGUCAUAUUCUCCCAUUCUCCACGCACCUAGUACUAUUCAUGACGUUUUGAAAUAAAAGUUCAUGAGCUAUCAAUCAAAUCGAAGGGUUUCAGGGUUAAGUUUCGAUAGUGGAAGCUACAAAAAUCGUAACAAAAUAAGUGCUGCAAGCAAAUUAAGAAAUUACGCAACAGAGAGAUUUCAUAUGCGAAAAGCGAAGAUGGGGUGUGCUUUCUUUAUGUAUAAUUAUUGUAGAGGAGGUGGACCGUAUAUAGCAUAAUGGAAUGGAAUCUCAUGAUCGAUCGAGUACACGAAUGGAUGUUCAUUCAAACUUCUGUAUCAAAAUAAGCGUAUGCCUCUCUAUCUAAACUUUAAUUUCAAUCCCACCAUAUGAGGCAAAAGACACACCCCCAUAUUGUUGUAGUGGGAUUGAAAUUAAGAGGUGUUGCAAAUCGUCUUAUGUGUGACAUUUUUUCUCAUAUCCUAUCAAUAUCCACACUAAUACCCUUAUUUGCCACACAUAAGGUGAUUUGCAACACCUCUACAUGUCACAAACCUCCACACAAAGUGUGUUUGGCUUUUGCUCUAUAUUGUUGUAGUGUCUGAUGAGAUAUUUACAGUAAGAGAACAUAAACGAUUAGCUAGAUCGAGAUCGAUCGACAACAAGCCAACUAGGAUAUCGAGUCUUUUAGUUAACUUAUCAGCUAUAGUGUGCAAGUUUGUGAGUUGGGAUAAUCUCUGUCUGCUAGCAUCUUUAUCACUCUCUAUUUUGGUUUUUUAGUUAUUUUAAAAAGCGUGUUUAACUUUUUUAGUAUUUUCGGAGCUCCAGCAGACUAGCCGAAGUUUAGCUAUUUUGAUUGUUAGCUAUCUCGCUAGAUAAAUUUAGAGAGCGAGACGAGGCUCUCUAUAAUUUAAUUCAUUAUUUUGAAGAUAUUUUAUGUGAUAUUUAAAUACAUAUAAAUUAUUUAAUCUUCAUUUGAGCAAUAAUAUUAAUUUAAUAUUAGUUAAAGUAGAGAACAUUGAUGCAGACGUAUCUCUAAAAUCGCUAGCUAAAAUGUAAUUUUAGCUAAUUUAACUCAAAAAUGGCUAGCAUUGGUUAAGAUGCUCUUAGCUCUUUCAGACUCAUGAACAUUUUAGUAGCUAGCGAACAUAAUAAUAGAGUCAUAAUAACAUUAUACACUGAGAGAUGAGAGAUUGGCAUAUGCGUGCAUAUAUAGUGCUUACACUGCGAUGAAUUGAAUUUAAUUGGUGUUAAUUAAAUAGUAAUGUUUUUGGUUUGCUUUAGAAUGGUUCAAGCCCUUUUGCUUGUUUUAAGGUGUGUCUAUUACUACCCCACAAACCAUUUUGUUUACCCCACAUUCUCUUCACACGUCUACUUAUUUAUUUUUAAGGGCCAAUUACAUAGAAGUCCACUUUAAGACAUUUUAUCAUAUAGAGGACACCCAAACAUUUUUACCCACAUAAGUCCAUCCAAGCCUAAAUAAAGGUAUUGAAGUUUAAUUAAAUUAUAGACUGCCAUCCAACAAAAAAAAUUAGAUUUUCUCUCUUAUAUUUACAAAAAUAUCACUAAUGUAAAAAGUCAACAACCACCCUCCUCUCUGGAAAAGUCUCCGGCAGACCUCCGGCGAGGUCUUUGACGGACUCCGGCCGACCUCCGGCGAUGUCUCUAGCCGACUUCCGGCAAGGUUUCCGACGGUUACGAAAGCUACUACCGCUAGCAAGAAAAGCUAUUAUCCUUAGCUAGAAACCGACUACAAAAGCUACUACCGUCAGCAAGAAAAACUACUACCGCCAGCAAAAAAACCUACUACCGCUAGCAACAAAAGCUACUAUCCCUAGCUAGAAAAGCUACUACCACCGACUACAAAAGCUAUUAUCGCCAGCAACAAAAGCUAUUAUCUCUAGCUACAAAAGUUACUACAGUCAACAACAAAAGCUACUACCGCCACCAACAAAAGCUACUACUGUCACCAACAAAAACUACUACCGAUAUAAACAAAAGCUACUACCCCUAUAAACAAAAGCGACUGCCACCAAAAAGCUACUACCGAGAUAAACAAAAGCUACUACCAACAUAAACAAAAGUUACUACCGCCAUAAACAAAAGCUACUACCAACAUAAAAAAAGCUAUUAUCACCGUCAACAAAAGCUACUACGAACCGUCACCUACAAAAGCUACUACCGCCACCAAUCGAAUCUACUACCUUUAACAACAAAAUCUACUACAUCCAACAACAAAAACUACUAUGGUGAGAUUUCGACGACCUUCAGAAAUGUCACAUAUAGUGUCGCUAACAACAAAAGUUACUACCAAGCAAAACAAAAACUACUACCCGGCAUAACAAAAGAUACUACCAAGCAUAAUAAAAGCUACUGCAAUCAAGAGAAUAUAACAAAUUCAAUGGUGCAAAAAAUAUGAAGCCUUCUACAAUAAUAUAAUUAUGUACAAAGCUUGUCACAUCCCGACCCUUAUAUUUUUACCUUAUUUACUAGCGUGAUUAUAAUAAGAAUUUUACCGUCUCGAUCAUUGAGUAAAUAGUUUAAUUGGUCCCUAGAGGGGUUUCGGGGACGAUUAUGUGCGGAGGAUUAUUAGUAUGAGGAAAAUACGACGACGGUAAAAAUGGUAAAUUUUAGCUAGUAAAAGGUAAUUUUUAUUCGGGUAUUAUUUUUCGGGGUGUUUUUAUUUUUUGAAUUGGGUUGAUAUAGGUUGGACCGGUGGAGGCCCAACCCAUUUUCUUUUUCCUCCUCCCUUUCUCUUCUUCCCUCUUUUUCUUUUCCUCUCCCCGAGCCUCCCGCUGCCCGGUUUUCCGGCCGCCCCAGACCGCCGCACCGGUCCCGUUCGGUCGGUCUCCCUCCCAGCAACAUUUCUAGACCGGUGACCGCCUCCCUAGCGCCGUCGUGAGGGAGAAACGCCGCCCGAAAGCUCCGACUGCCGAAUCGGUUUUCUCGCCGGAACUCCCUCCUCCGGCUGCCAUAUCCGGCGAGCCUUAGCCCAAAAGGAAGCCCUCCUCCCGUGCUUCAAUCCCUCCAAAGGGCUCGCUCCGUCGUGAGCUAGGUAAGGAGAAAUGGGAACUUGAAAUUUCUAGGGCUUUUUGUGUAUUUGUGUUCGAUUGAUGUGCUUAGGCUUAGAAUUGGAGUUUGUGGUAGUUAGGAAUGUUGUAGAGGAGGUUGAGAGGAAGAUGCUGCCAAAAUUUGGUAGCAUUUGCAGGUCGCCGGAAAACGGCUGCCGGCCGCCGCUGCCGGCGGAGCCGCCGCCGGUUAGGAGAUUUUUAGGGUUUUAAAUGUGGAAUAUUAAGAGGAGUAUAUUGGUGUGAUUUAUGGAAUUUUUGGAUGAGAUUUGGAUAGGUUUGUGAAUUUCCGAAGUUUGGUAUUUUUGGCGGUUAAUUAAUGUAGAAUCCGGCCGUAGGAUUUAAGUCGUAUUUUGGAGAGGUUGUAUUUACGACUGUUGAGUAUGAUAUUUAAGUUCGGAUCGUUCCGAUGUAAGAAUAUCGAAGUUAUGCAAUGAUGAGCGUAAUUAUGGCUCUCGGGUAAUUUUGCCUAUGUUGAUUAAAUAUAGGAUUAUUGGUUGGGAAAUUAAUAUUUUAUUUGGAACAGGACGUGAGGAGGCUCGAGCAGACGAGACCCCAGAUCGACUUCAGGCUUAGGCCUAAUUUGUGAGUGGACGUUUAUUUUAAAUAAAUGCAUGCUAAAGUUCACGAUUGAAUAAUUAAUGUCGUGGAGUAUUUUGACGUCAUUUUAAUUUUUGACGAUUUUUAUUUCUCGUGGAGAGAUACCGAAAAUGGGAUUUUCGGUGGAUAUAAAUAUGUAUUUAUGAGAGAGUAUGUAUAUAAAAUGCUAGCUAGCCAUAUGUGUCUGUCCACCUUAAUGGCGUAGCAUAUAGCCGCAUUAUGGUGUGACGUGAGCGUUGGACGUAAGCGUAGUAGCCCUAUUUGAGUGUUUAAUUCAUAUAGGGGUAUGGACACAGUAUUUAUACACCCGUCUGUCCACCUUGAUGGCGUAGUGUAGCACCGCAUUAAGGUCGUUGAGUAACGUAGGUAGACGUUUGGUACGCGAGCGUGUAGCCUAUAUUAGUACCCUAUUGAAAUUUAUAUAGGGAGUAUGGACGAGUGUAAAUACAUACAUAUAUUAUAGAGUCUGAGAGGCUCGAUAUUUUAUGGGAUAAAAGUUUUAUCGCUUGCGGCAUGCAUUCGAUUUUUCCUUAGAAAUUAAUUUGGGGAAACAUAAAUAUUUUAAUUAUUAUUUUAUUUUUUGUCCACUCACUCUAACGUUAUUAAAUGUUUUCCCCUGGGCCCUUCGUUUUAAAUUGCCCAGUCUGCAGAGUUCGGGUUGGAUCUAGUAGGAGACGAGGCAUAGUCACCCGCUUUUCUGCCAGUUUUCGCCAGUAGGUUACCUGUUCAACCUACUCGUGUUUUCUUGCUUCCGCUUGUGUUUAGUAGCUCUGAAUACUUUAGAAUUUUUGUAUUUUAUGCGAUGUUCAGAAGUGAUAAAUUAAGAGUGUAAUUUGAAAUUUUCGAGUUAGGGUUGUCCAUCUGCAAGGGAGAUUUUCUUAAUCUUUUCAGUAAAUUUUCCUUGGAGGUGGUCCCCGCACGACUUACUCUGGGUUUCAGGGUGAAAUUCGGGGUGGGUCGUGUCAAAGC